AACUAAAACCAAAUAGAGGUAAAUUAUUGUUAAUAAUUCAACUGAACGUUAAAUUUCUAGUU
This 62-nucleotide transfer RNA is filed under the name Stenamma megamanni. Its description in RNAcentral is "tRNA-Asn". Lineage: Eukaryota; Metazoa; Arthropoda; Insecta; Hymenoptera; Formicidae. The record is from RNAcentral.